Macaca fascicularis (crab-eating macaque) is the source of this 71-nucleotide small nuclear RNA. Its record names the gene U2. It matches the Rfam family "U2 spliceosomal RNA". From Rfam's summary of the family: U2 is a small nuclear RNA (snRNA) component of the spliceosome (involved in pre-mRNA splicing). The record is from Ensembl. NCBI's taxonomy places the organism in Eukaryota, Metazoa, Chordata, Mammalia, Primates, Cercopithecidae.
AUCGCUUCUCGGCCUUUUGGCUAAGAUCAAGUGUAAAAAUUAUUAAACCAAUUUUUAGUUUUAUAUUAUAU